Pieris napi is the source of this 3012-nucleotide long non-coding RNA. RefSeq lists it as uncharacterized. The transcript is spliced from 2 exons. Lineage: Eukaryota; Metazoa; Arthropoda; Insecta; Lepidoptera; Pieridae. The record is from RefSeq and is a predicted model, not a curated record.
GGCCCCAACGAAUAAACAUGCAAGAGCUCUUACCCAAAAAAUUUUUUUUCGUUUUCUUCGUUUUAAUGGCCUAUCAUACACCUAUAUAAUUUUUUUUAAAUAUUUUAGACUUCAAAUAAGGCUUUUAUAGCACAAUAUUCGUUUAUUGUAGGGAAAAAAUAUAUCUUCAUAUCAUCAUGAAUAACAAAACAUGCGCCUAUUACAUAUUAUUUGUUUCUUAGAGUACACCAGAAUAAACGUGUUAAAUCAAUCUGCCGCUCGUGCCUAUCCUAUCCUUUCGGCAAUUACUCUUACACGAUUAUUCGUGUAAAAAUGGAAGCAACUUUUACUAGUAAUGCAUCAUUGCACACUGAAUAUAAUAAUUACAGUUAUUCCAUUAUCUUUUACUAAUUUCUCUCCUUUCUUCUACUUUUACGUAAAGGUUCAAGCACUUAUAUUCUUCGCUCAUGAAUUUCAAGUUAUUGUUAGUAACCGCUUAAUAUACGGAUACUUUUCCGAUCGUGUCUAUUGCAAUAGCGCGUUAGUAUAGACAAGGGAUGAAGCGGGGGCGAGCCACGCCGACUGUUUUAUAUAUUAAUAAGGCUUACGAUCUAAGAAGUAUUUCCAAUUUAGAUGGUGUUUUACAUAGUAUUGAAACACAAAAUAUAUCACAGGAUGUUGCAACUACAGCAUCGGAGGAAAGACCCGUAACUCCCAUUGAACAGCUUACGAAAAAGAGAAAAAUAGAUCCUAAUUUAUGGAAAGAUAAGAAAAACUAAAUUCUUAAAAAUUCUGAUAAAAGUUAUGAGGGUGCUAGAACUAACAAACAAAACGCAGAAAAAUCUAUUGGACCUCCAUGCAACUGCAAAUUGAAAUGUUACGAAAAGAUACAUCAAAAUAUAAGGAGUAAAAUGUUUCUGAGUUUUUGGGCUAUCGGGGACCAUGAGAGACAGUGAGAUUUUAUUAACCGACAUGUAAAGAAAGAUAACGUCAAAAAGAUUACAGUUGAUUGUUGAACGUAAAAAUAAUCGUACUCAAACAUUAACAUAUCAACUACUCGAUGAUACUAAUGAUAUACAUGAUUAAAGUUUCUAAAAUUAUGUUUUUAAAUACAUUAUCCAUUACAGAGCAAGUAGUAUACACAGCUAUUGAUAAAUUGGGAGAUGACAACUAUUUAAAAGACUACAGAGGAACUCAUAAGAACAGGCCAAGAAGAAUGUCAGAAGAGACUGAAAAAGUAUAUUCGACCAUAUAAAUUUAUUUGAAAGAGUUGAAUCACACUAUUCUCGAAAGAUAGCCAAAAGCAAUAUCUGUGUGAAACUUUGAAUAUCUCUAAAAUGCACCGACUAUAUUUGGAAUGGAUAGAUACAAACAACCAGUACAAUUAAACAUGCAAAGCAACUAAACGCCAAUAUGAAAUAAUCUUCAAUACAAAGUUUAACCUAUCCUUCCACAAACCUAAAAAAGAUUUAUGUGAGAUAUGUUCAAUUUACCAAACUUCUGAUGAUGUUAGGAUCGAACAAUUACAAGCUGAUUAUGAAAAGCACUUGAAAGAAAAGCAAUUAGUCAGGCAAUUAAAGGAACAAGAAAAAGAAACUUUUUCUUCAGAUGACAGUGUUGUAGCAUGUUUUGAUCUGGAAAAAGUGUUGAAUAUCCCUCAAAGUGAAGUAGGCACAUUUCAUUAUGAACGGAAGUAUCCUGUAUACAAUUUCACGAUCUAUAAUAUAAUCGAGAAGAAAGGUUACUGCUAUGUCUGGCACUGUCAGAUUGCGAAAAGGGGUGCGAUAGAAAUAGCAAGUUGUCUUUGGUCAUUGAUCCAGGUUUUUGGAGAAAGGUGGCCAAUCGAGGGGUGAUUCUAUGCACGCUGCUAUUGAGCGUUCCAAGAAAAAGCAUACUAUUUACACACCUAACCUAAUGUAUUCCUUGAUAGAGAAUGCCAAAGUUACCGGACACAAGUACCAGGUAAGACAAAUGACACAAGCUGAUUGCAUAGAUUUUAAAGAGUUAAUAAAGGGGAAGAAUUGGUUGAAAGAUAAAAAUGGGGAUAUAAUUUAUUGGAGCAAAUAAAAGAAGUAGUUUUUUAUUAUAAUCAUCCUGGUACAAUAUACUUUAGAUACAGUUUUGAAGACGAAUUACAAGAGAUGCAAACUAUCACGAGGACUAAUUCAAGAAGGCGACGAGGAGAACCCAUAGAAAAUGCUGAAAACCUAAAACACUGGAAUUCUAUUUAUACCACUCCCUUUAUAUAGGGAUUUAAUAAGACUGCGACUCAGGAGCCAUACUAAACCAUUCUUACCAGUGUUUUUACAGAAAUUUGGUGCCAUUAGGUUCCACCUCGGUAAUACCAACGAUAGUGACGAGGAGAUUUAUUAGUACUUACUUAUUUCUUGUUCUCUGUUUAAUUUUUCAUGUUUUUUUUUUUUAAUAAUAUACCUGAUAGGUACUUAAUUUGUUCCUUAUUGGAUAAAUAAAAAAUAAUUAUUCUUAUUAACAUUAUUUUUUAUUUAACCUUUAUCAAAAAUCAUAAGCUAAUUUACAUUAUUAUACCAUGCACUAAUAAAGAUGUAUUACAUAAAUAAUGAAUUGAUCUUAAUUACGCUAAUAAACGGGCCUCUAUCUUUACAAACAUGAAAAAGCAACAAAAUAUACAAGAAUAAGCCUGUAGACAGCCAGAGCACGGCUCAGAAAAAAAAAUAUUGACGUAGAAUAACCGUGUAACAUUUCACUAUAUUUGAUUAUGCUUCAUUUAUGACACGAAUAAACGUGCAGUGAUACAAUACUGUUAAAAAGUCACAUAUUAUUCACUACAAUAAUAAAAUAACAUGUUUUUUCUUGAAUAUUGAGAAAACUGUUAAUAUUUUUUUUAUAAAAAAUAUAUGAGCUAAAAGAUAUUUUUUUUACCUUUAAUUUGAUCAUUCAUUAUAUAUAUCUAUUUAUUAUGUAAUUAAAGUAAAGUGAUUCCAAACUAUUUUGUUGUUUCCUGAAAAGUUGUUGUUUUUCGAUUGCACGUUUAUUCGUUGGGGCCAUCGAUAU